RNAcentral lists this transfer RNA (72 nucleotides) under marine eukaryotic metagenome. It matches the Rfam family "tRNA". From Rfam's summary of the family: Transfer RNA (tRNA) molecules are approximately 80 nucleotides in length. Their secondary structure includes four short double-helical elements and three loops (D, anti-codon, and T loops). The record is from RNAcentral.
GGGCUGUAGCUCAGUUGGUCAGAGCACCUGCUUUGCAAGCAGGGGGUCAGGAGUUCGACUCUCCUCAGCUCC